This 489-nucleotide ribosomal RNA is filed under the name uncultured bacterium. RNAcentral describes it as "partial 16S ribosomal RNA". It matches the Rfam family "Bacterial small subunit ribosomal RNA", at positions 30 to 507 of the family's 1533-position model. The record is from RNAcentral.
UUGAACGCUGGCGGCAGGCCUAACACAUGCAAGUCGAACGGUAACAGGAAGAAGCUUGCUUCUUUGCUGACGAGUGGCGGACGGGUGAGUAAUGUCUGGGAAACUGCCUGAUGGAGGGGGAUAACUACUGGAAACGGUAGCUAAUACCGCAUAACGUCGCAAGACCAAAAAGGGGGACCUUCGGGCCUCUUGCCAUCGGAUGUGCCCAGAUGGGAUUAGCUAGUAGGUGGGGUAACGGCUCACCUGGGCGACGAUCCCUAGCUGGUCUGAGAGGAUGACCAGCCACACUGGAACUGAGACACGGUCCAGACUCCUACGGGAGGCAGCAGUGGGGAAUAUUGCACAAUGGGCGCAAGCCUGAUGCAGCCAUGCCGCGUGUAUGAAGAAGGCCUUCGGGUUGUAAAGUACUUUCAGCGGGGAGGAAGGGAGUAAAGUUAAUACCUUUGCUCAUUGACGUUACCCGCAGAAGAAGCACCGGCUAACUCCGUG